Non-coding RNA from Cavia porcellus (domestic guinea pig), 1533 nucleotides. The record is from the annotation of a RefSeq genome assembly. Lineage: Eukaryota; Metazoa; Chordata; Mammalia; Rodentia; Caviidae.
ACUUCACUCCUUCUGCACCACUGCACCCACCAGGGAAUUUGCAUUUUGUCUCCAGGGUGGACCUUCCCAAGCAAGUCUCAGAUAAAAUCUGACACUAACUUGGCCUUGCCUGAUCAGGACUCUUCAGUUCAGUUUCUCAAAAUGAGGCUCCCUCUUCAGCCCCUGGGGCUGCUACUCUUCUGUAUCACUGGAUCCACUGGAGAUGUUGUGAUGACCCAGACCCCACUCUCUCUGUCCAUCGCCCCUGGAGAGCCGGCCUCUAUCUCCUGCAGGUCCAGCCAGAGCCUCCUCUCUAGUAAUGGAAAUACCUAUUUGCAUUGGGUUGUGCACAAGCCAGGCCAGGCUCCACAUGGUGUGAUUUACCUGGUUUCAUACCGGUAUUCUGGUAUCUCAGACAGAUUCAGUGGCAGUGGGUCAGGGACAGAUUUUGUCCUCAAAAUUAGCAAGGUGGAGGCUGAGGACGCUGGAGUUUAUUACUGUGUGCAAAGUACACAUGAACCUCGCACAGUGCUACAGCCCCGAACACAAACCUCCCUGCCUGGGGAGGCCCAGCUGCCCUCCUGCACUGCUGUCUGGGGAGCAGCAGAGUGCAGCCUGCUCUCUGUGAGAGGAAGAGGCUGAAGAAUCAGAAAAACAAGUUGUAACUGAGGUCUCUGCCCUGCCUAGAGAAUGAGGAAGACAACACAACAGCCAGGAUCUGUGUUCUGGUGAGGAAGCUGACUCAGAGAGAGAAUGGAGCUGAACUCCAGAGCUUCUUUAGUGCCUUAAAACUUCUGUUGUUUUAUGAAACUGAAAAAAAUACAAACCAAAUGAACCAUGAAUUUUGCUAAAAUGACCAACAAGCUAGAAAUGGCCUCCACAGUUGGAAAUUUCUCUUGCAAUUUUCUCACAUUGUGAUUAUCCAGUGGGAAACGGUCACCAUGGACUCUCCUUUCAGCCAAGCUGGUACUCCUAUGAUGCUGCGCCCAUUUCCAGAGGGCAGCAUUAAAGGGAUCACUUCUGGUAUUGCAAUGUUGGGCUUUGUGUGACUCCAUAGAUCAUCGGAAGUGGUGCCUCAUGCAGGGCUCUUGGUCUUACUGACUCCAUGGUGAGUAAAAGUCCUGGCCUAAAGAAACCUCAGUCAUGUCAUGUCUGUCUAGUCAAUGUAGCACAGCAAAGGUGAGCAUUCAAAUUGUGAUUCUGCCUCGAGGUACCUGAGGAUGACCUCAGAGAAGUUGGGUCUAUCCUUAUUUGGUGAUAUCCAGGAUUACAGCUACCUAUCAAGGAGACAAACAAAUGCUCAGAAAAUUUCUCACAGCAAUUAGUAGCAAUUUUCCUUGCUUUUUAUGGGCAAUCUUUGGCUCUGUUCUCCAUCACAAGCACAUAUGCAGCUUUAGUUUCCACAAGGAUCAUUUGUAAAAAGAUUUUUAUUGGAAAAAAAGACAUGCAGACCUGACAUUUUCAGAAUUAAGGCAGGUGCCUCUCACCUCCCCUCAUCCUCAUGAGACAUGCUUGAUAAAUCUCAAUAGGCUCCAUUUCUUCCAUUUGUGAUAA